GGAUGUGAGGGUGAUCUGGNUGCAACAUCUGUCACCCACUGAUACCAGGAUUGGUUUGGCAGAUUUGACAGUAUAGGCAGGUUCCCACUCAUCCCUCACCACUACAUGUACGGCCCUUCUAAACCUGUUUGGCCAUCACAGAUGGCCAAGGGAACCUGACAGCUGCCUCCCAUACUAGGAUCUCUAUACUUAGGUGUAUGUUAAUUUUCAGACUCAUUAAUUAACCUUAGCAAUAUGGUUAGGGAUAUGAU
This 251-nucleotide small nuclear RNA is filed under the name Salvator merianae (Argentine black and white tegu). RNAcentral describes it as "7SK RNA (ENSSMRG00000001197.1)". It matches the Rfam family "7SK RNA". From Rfam's summary of the family: 7SK was discovered as an abundant small nuclear RNA in the mid-70s but a possible function has only recently been suggested. Two independent studies have found that 7SK RNA binds the CDK9/cyclin T complex (known as elongation factor P-TEFb). Lineage: Eukaryota; Metazoa; Chordata; Lepidosauria; Squamata; Teiidae. The record is from RNAcentral.